RNAcentral lists this ribosomal RNA (117 nucleotides) under Candidatus Woesearchaeota archaeon. The record is from RNAcentral. Lineage: Archaea; Nanobdellati; Candidatus Woesearchaeota.
GUGGACGGCCAUGGUGGCAGGGUUCUACCCGAUCCCAUUCCGAACUCGGAAGUCAAGCCUGCCGACGUUCCGGGGUGUACUGCUUUUUUAAGCGGGAAACCCAGUUCGCUGUCCACA